This 714-nucleotide ribosomal RNA is filed under the name Triticum aestivum (bread wheat). Its description in RNAcentral is "partial small subunit ribosomal RNA". Lineage: Eukaryota; Viridiplantae; Streptophyta; Magnoliopsida; Poales; Poaceae. The record is from RNAcentral.
UCCAAGGAGAGCGAUCUGGAUGACAAGUUUCAGCAUCUGAAUCUGAGAGCGGAGGAGGAGGAAUAUGUGAUUCUUGAGGAGGAUUUGGAAGAGUUGGAAAAGGAUGCUGAAUUCAUGGCCCUGGCUACGGUUCAUACUACACGCAAAUUCAGUCACGGUGCAUUCUACGGGAUGAUGCUAUUUGCGUGGAACCUGGCACAAGAAGUGGAGUUUAGGGCAAUUGAGGACAACUUGUUUUCAGUGCAGAUGACAUGCCUUGUAGAUUGGGAACGAGUGAUGAAGGAUGGUCCAUGGAUCUUCAGAAACUACCCGGUUCUGAUGGCGAGUUAUGAUGGAUGGUCUGAACCAAAUGAUACUGAAUUAUAUACUUACCAAGCUUGGGUUCGUGUCAUGGGACUGAAGGAGAAAAUGCGAUCGGCAAGUAUUGCCUCACAAUUGGCAAGGAAAGCAGGUGAGGUUGAACGGGUGGAUGAGCGAUCUGUGAAAGGACAGGGUGGAGGCAUACGGGUCAGGGUGAUGCUCGAUGUACGUUUCCCUCUGAUGAGAUGUGCGAGCUUAACUUUGAGGAAGAAGAAGGUCUAUUUUGAUUUCAUUUAUGAGAAGAUGUCGUGUUUUUGUGGUGUUUGUGGCCUUGUGGGUCAUGUGGCCAAGGAUCAUGGGAAAGGAUUGCAUGAUGCUAGUGCCAUUAUUUAUCUCCCCUCGUUAUGGUGCUGA